CUUGGCAGUCCUUAGAACAUCACAAGAGUUCUCUAUAUUGAUGCAAUCAUAUUAAGCUUGGUGAGCAGUAAUGAGCAACUCACCUGGAUCCCCUGACAGGAUGCAUGAUCGCCAGAUGGUGGGAGGUAAACCUACCAAGUUUCAGGGGUCUGCCAUAUCGGUGAAGUUUUCUGGGUGUCAGUGGUCUGCGGUAUUCCAGCACAUCCCUUCUAAGAAUCAGAAGAAAAUGUGACCACAGAAGAAGCUGCCAAUGGAACAACUGAAGCAAGAUGGUACACUGACAACUUAGAAGGUAGAAGACGGGGCCAAGAGCCAAGGAAUGUAAGGAAUGAGGUUCUAGAGCUGGAAAAAGCAAAGAAACAGAUUCUUCCCUGGCCUUGAGAAGGUGAGCAACCCUGCUGACAUCUUGAUCUCAGCCCAGUAAAUGGUUUCACACUUCUGACCUCUAGAAAUACAAGAAAUAAAAUGUAUGUUCUGUUAAGCCACUGAAUUUGUGCUAAUUUGUUACAACAGACAUUGGAAACUAAUGAAAAUGUCUUACUUAAUGAAACACAGCCAGGAAAUGGAAGAACUGGG
Molecule: long non-coding RNA, 576 nt
Filed under: Homo sapiens (human)
Lineage: Eukaryota; Metazoa; Chordata; Mammalia; Primates; Hominidae
Description: HSALNT0144514
Source: RNAcentral